RNAcentral lists this ribosomal RNA (253 nucleotides) under uncultured bacterium. Its description in RNAcentral is "partial 16S ribosomal RNA". It matches the Rfam family "Bacterial small subunit ribosomal RNA", at positions 524 to 776 of the family's 1533-position model. The record is from RNAcentral.
GACAGAGGAGGCAAGCGUUGCUCGGAUUUACUGGGAUUAAAGGGCGCGUAGGCGGCUUUAUAAGUCCGAGGUGGAAUUCCACAGCUUAACUGUGGAACUGCCUUGGAACCUAUAAGGCUUGAGUCAGGUAGAGGAGGGCGGAAUUCCCGGUGUAGCGGUGAAAUGCGUAGAUAUCGGGAGGAAGGCCGGUGGCGAAAGCGGCCCUCUGGGCCUGUACUGACGCUGAGGCGCGAAAGCGUGGGGAGCAAACAGG